Long non-coding RNA from Halichondria panicea, 2735 nucleotides. RefSeq lists it as uncharacterized. The transcript has 4 exons. The record is from RefSeq and is a predicted model, not a curated record. NCBI's taxonomy places the organism in Eukaryota, Metazoa, Porifera, Demospongiae, Suberitida, Halichondriidae.
AGGCGAGGUGUGUGAUGGGUGAGCCUAGACGAGGACGAAACUCUCUCUUGUGUGUGUCCAGCUGCCAGAGGACGAGUACACCCUCCUCACCACCACUGACCAGAUACGUACCUGUGGGGGGGAGAACAUGAAAGAAUGAAAGUGAGUGGAGUUCUCAACUCUCUGGGAAGGGGAUUCCCUGAGGGCACAAACACAGCUGUGAGUUGACUCAGAGGAUCAGAUACCAUGGAGCACACUCUGGUCUUCUGGGGGGAGGACGUGGGGAGGGGGCACUGAGUAGAGAGAGUGAUGGUUUGGACGUGCUGUUCAACUUGUGGUGUACUGUAGAACCUGUAGCAAAAGUAGCACAUUGUAAAACGCCAUAAUAAAAUGCUAUAAUAAUAUGAUAAUUAUGCAUAGCAAUGCCUAUUAGCCACACACUGACACUGACCUCUGUUUUGUAGUUUGCUGCCUCCAAAGAUAUCCCAGAAUGCCCUCUCUGACGUGGGAACAUUGUCCCCUAGUAACGGCCGAGAGUCAUCACUCUUCUCUUUACCUUCCUCCUCCAGGCCAUACAAUACCUGUGUACACACAACAUAAUAAACGCACAUGACAUUGGGUCAUGGAGAUAAUAAGGCAAUAGCUACUGUAGGUUUACUAGUUAUAAUCUUCCUAAGAGCACUGGUAGUGUUGUACUAACCUGUGCCUUGUCCAUGAAGUACAGUGUGGAGGUACCCCCUGACUGAGGGGGUAGGAACACGCCCCCCAGCACUUGUCCCGAGCACACAGAGUGAUGUACGGCCAGUGGAGUGGGGGAAGAGGGGUCAAUCAGUCUUAAAGUUGACAGCCAGUAGUGACCCAUCCUCACUGAAGCACGCCCCCACACUCUCCAGACCAUGGUAGUAACCCACUGCCUGACACGACCAUGACACACCCACUUCCUCUCCUAGGAGGACCCACGUCUUGAAGUGGCUAUCUAGACUCGUGGAGACCAAUAGAGGGAUCUGAUUGGACGUCUUGUUGGUAUGGUGACGUGGUUGGAAGGUGAUGCUGGUGACAGGUCGAUCGUGAGGUGGCUCCACACAAGUGUUCAGAGUGUAUCUGAGGGAGACAAUAAAAUACAAUCAUGAUUACUGUAUAUGUGUCAAUAAUUAUUUGGCAGAGUAUAAUGUAUAAAGUAGCUAGCAGACAGUACUAUAAUUAAUUAUGGAGUCGAUCAUGUUGUUGGACAUAGAUGUACAUUGCGGAAAGGCACAGCAUUCAUUUAAACAAUGAAUCAUGUGAUGUGAUAAUGACAUACACACUUCUCGAUAAAAUCACUACUCACUAGACCACCCACACAAUUUCAGUUGAAAGACCACUGAAACUUAGAGCUGAGCAGUUUCAAGUACUGGGUAUCAAUGGCCACAAAUGCAAUGGCUGAAGCAUACAUUACCACAGACCACAAUGAGUUGACUCCUAGCCCGAGGCUAAAAGAUUUUGAAGAAGAGCUAUGCUUCGAUCAAGCAUUGGAGUGUUUCUACGAUCCACGAAGUAAAACUGGAGUCAUGUGUAAAUUUGAACUGAGAGUACAGGGACGGACGGAACCUAUACUAAUAAACUUUGUAAAAACAUCUAACCCUCAGCUUCAUGCAGAACAACUAUUUUGUAAAAAAGCAAACGAAGGAUUGCAAAGAAAUAGUCGAAUAUACACACCAGAAGCUGUAUCUGUUACAAUGUUGAUAGUCCGUGCUCUAAAUGUCGAGAAGACUUGCAAGCAUUGUUCAUUUCAUGUCGUGUACCCGUUCAUUUCACUUUAAGGAUAGCACGAUUGUAUUUAGAAAAGUCUAAACCUAAUGAAGCAGAAAGAAAGUUAGAUUACUGGAUAAAAGACCUCGAAGUGCGAAAAAUUAGAGUCUAUUUGAGUGCCAUCAAUGUCAUUUCAGAAAUAGCUAUGCUAACAAGAAAGGUGAAGAUAACUGAGGAACAAAGGAGCACCAGAAUAGACGAAGAUACGAGAAUUAACCGACAAAUUGAUAACAUUCAAAACGGGACUACACAUGUGACGAAUUUGAUUAAACACUUCAAAUUGGUGUGGUCAGGUUUGACACGAACAUACUUUAUAGACGAAAGUGAUAAACAAAUGAUACUACUCCGGCUCAUAGUCUCAGCUGUUACGAUGGAUGAGAAACGACCAACAGAGAUUAUAUAUUCAAAAAAACUAGAUGGAGAUGGAGAUCAUCUAUUACACGAAAUUAAAACUAGAAUUCCCUUGUCGUGGGGAUCUAUCAGAAAGUGUAUCAUACUGGUAUGUGCACACGUGCCCUCCAUCAAAUGCCAAGAGAGGAUUACGAAGUUCCUGGGAGAAAAAAAGCUUUAUGGAGUGAACAACAAACUGGUCCUAUAUAUCGCCAAAGUUCCUGUAGGCGAAGAAAGAGACAGUUUCAUUGAGUGGAUAGAGCGUCUAAGAGGAAAUUUAAUCCAUGUCUGCCUACAACCUUUCUAUGCUCCGUUGCCAUCCUUCUCAGGACAAAUAAUUGAUUGAUACGUCAUAUUGAAAACUGAAUUCCAGACUCUAAAAAGAGAACUAGAGUCCAGAAUGUCUCCUCCUCUCAGUGAAACGCAAUCACCGCAGCUAUCUUUGCCAGACUCAGAUGAAGAGAUGUCUUCAUAGGAGCAUUUUUAGGCAAAUUUGAGCCAAUAAUAUCACAAGGAUAAUACUAUACAUGUAAACCACAAUAUUCUUUGUCUAAAUACAUACUUUUAUUGUACUUAUA